Molecule: ribosomal RNA, 465 nt
Filed under: uncultured Klebsiella sp.
Lineage: Bacteria; Pseudomonadati; Pseudomonadota; Gammaproteobacteria; Enterobacterales; Enterobacteriaceae
Description: bacterial SSU rRNA
Rfam family: Bacterial small subunit ribosomal RNA
Source: RNAcentral
CCUACGGGUGGCAGCAGUGGGGAAUAUUGCACAAUGGUCGCAAGCCUGAUGCAGCCAUGCCGCGUGUGUGAAGAAGGCCUUCGGGUUGUAAAGCACUUUCAGCGGGGAGGAAGGCGUUAAGGUUAAUAACCUUGGCGAUUGACGUUACCCGCAGAAGAAGCACCGGCUAACUCCGUGCCAGCAGCCGCGGUAAUACGGAGGGUGCAAGCGUUAAUCGGAAUUACUGGGCGUAAAGCGCACGCAGGCGGUCUGUCAAGUCGGAUGUGAAAUCCCCGGGCUCAACCUGGGAACUGCAUUCGAAACUGGCAGGCUAGAGUCUUGUAGAGGGGGGUAGAAUUCCAGGUGUAGCGGUGAAAUGCGUAGAGAUCUGGAGGAAUACCGGUAGCGAAGGCGGCCCCCUGGACAAAGACUGACGCUCAGGUGCGAAAGCGUGGGGAGCAAACAGGAUUAGAUACCCCUGUAGUC